This 265-nucleotide ribosomal RNA is filed under the name uncultured bacterium. RNAcentral describes it as "partial 16S ribosomal RNA". It matches the Rfam family "Bacterial small subunit ribosomal RNA", at positions 793 to 1055 of the family's 1533-position model. The record is from RNAcentral.
GUCCACGCCGUAAACGAUGGACACUAGGCGUCGGGGGAGCGACCCUCCCGGUGCCGUCGCUAACGCAGUAAGUGUCCCGCCUGGGGAGUACGGCCGCAAGGCUGAAACUCAAAGGAAUUGACGGGGGCCCGCACAAGCGGUGGAGCAUGUGGUUUAAUUCGAAGCAACGCGAAGAACCUUACCUGGGCUUGACAUGCUGGUGAAAAGCCGGUGGAAACAUCGGUCCCUCUUCGGAGCACCAGCACAGGUGCUGCAUGGCUGUCGU